This 372-nucleotide ribosomal RNA is filed under the name uncultured organism. RNAcentral's name for it is "partial 16S ribosomal RNA". It matches the Rfam family "Bacterial small subunit ribosomal RNA", at positions 527 to 896 of the family's 1533-position model. The record is from RNAcentral.
GUAGGUGGCAAGCGUUGUCCGGAAUUAUUGGGCGUAAAGCGCGCGCAGGCGGUUCUUUAAGUCUGAUGUGAAAGCCCACGGCUCAACCGUGGAGGGUCAUUGGAAACUGGAGAACUUGAGUACAGAAGAGGAAAGCGGAAUUCCACGUGUAGCGGUGAAAUGCGUAGAGAUGUGGAGGAACACCAGUGGCGAAGGCGGCUUUCUGGUCUGUAACUGACGCUGAGGCGCGAAAGCGUGGGGAGCAAACAGGAUUAGAUACCCUGGUAGUCCACGCCGUAAACGAUGAGUGCUAAGUGUUAGGGGGUUUUCCGCCCCCCUUAGUGCUGCAGCUAACGCAUUAAGCACUCCGCUGGGAGUACGGCCGCAAGGCUG